CUUCGGAGAAGACCAAACAGAAUUAUUCGACUAUUUGCCUCCUCCUCCUCCCUGUCCUGACACACAGUUAAAGGAAAACAGCGAGGUCAACAGACCUGUUUCCUCCACUGCAUCAGCAGCAGCUCAACAUCCAAUCAAAUCAGCAUCAUCUGGUGGAACAAUCUGGUCAAUUUCUCCCAGAUCUGAUCGUGGUGAUUCGGACAUCGUGGACAGUCGCGUGGCAGCUCUCUUGGAGGAGCAGAGCGUAGAGUAUGAACCAGCAGACACCUUAUCUGAUACAGAUGUUGAUACAGCAGACAAAGAACUCCAGUUGAACACCGUCAGGAGAAAAGUCUCCCAGUUAUUGGAUGAUGCUUUCUUUCUCGCUGCUCCAAAACGCCUGUACAGCAGCCUACGCUGUAAGAAAAUUUCCCCGGCUGUCCAUGGAACCGUACGAUCUAGUCUACGAUCUCGAUCUGCAACACCACAGCUCGAAAGUGACACCAGGUGGGGCUUU
Limulus polyphemus (Atlantic horseshoe crab) is the source of this 496-nucleotide long non-coding RNA. RefSeq lists it as uncharacterized. The transcript has 4 exons. The record is from RefSeq and is a predicted model, not a curated record. Lineage: Eukaryota; Metazoa; Arthropoda; Merostomata; Xiphosura; Limulidae.